GGGGGUAUAUCUCAGUCGUAGAGUGUCUGCUUAGCAUGCAUGAAGUCCUGGGUUCAAUCCCCAGUAACUCCA
This 72-nucleotide transfer RNA is filed under the name Camelus bactrianus (Bactrian camel). It matches the Rfam family "tRNA". From Rfam's summary of the family: Transfer RNA (tRNA) molecules are approximately 80 nucleotides in length. Their secondary structure includes four short double-helical elements and three loops (D, anti-codon, and T loops). Lineage: Eukaryota; Metazoa; Chordata; Mammalia; Artiodactyla; Camelidae. The record is from Rfam by way of RNAcentral. RNAcentral also lists the same sequence under 2 other names.